Molecule: long non-coding RNA, 856 nt
Filed under: Androctonus crassicauda
Lineage: Eukaryota; Metazoa; Arthropoda; Arachnida; Scorpiones; Buthidae
Source: RNAcentral
GGCAUAAUUAAAAGAACAAAACAUAAAAAAAAGGAACGAUGGAUUUUUACGAUUUUUUUUUUUUCGUUUGUCUAUCUGCCAGAGUCUUUAUGAUCUUCGCAGAUGUAUAUUUUAUACGAAAGUUUCUACUAUAAAUAAGCAACAUGUGAUCUGAGAAAAAUCUGAUAAAACAUUAAUCCCGUGAUGGUGCUUCUUUAUCAAAGAUGAUUUUUUUUUCAUUUUAUGUUUAUGGGGAGAAAAGUUAUGAUUUAUAAUAAAACUUUUAAUGCCAACGAAAGAAAUCGCUCGAUUGAUAACGCGUAACUACGCGGAUAAAAAGGAAAAAAAAAAAAAAAAACAGAAAAUAAUUAGAAUAUUAAUUUUACGAAAUAAGCGAAAUUGUUUUGCAUUUUUAAUCGAUAAUUGCGCUUUGUCAGCUAAAUCUUUUCAGAUGAUAAUACAGGGGAAUGAGAUGAAUUUUAACUGGUUUAGUUUUAAAUUAAGUCUGAUUAUAAAAAGUUCAGCUUUUAAUAUAAAUUACUUAAUUGUUCAGUAGAGUGGCGACGUUGUUUCGUGCACGGAAUGAUUGCUAAGUGUUGAGGUAUAUUCGCAAAAGUUCGGUGUAGAAAAUAAAGCUUUAUCUACCCGAUAAUAAAAUUUCUUUAUACUGGAAGAGAGGUAACAUAAUAUAGGGAAAAAUAAGAAAAAAUAAUAAUAAUCAUAUAUAUUAAUAGUCAAACGUAACUGGCUGAUGGAUGUCCCUUUUUCGGUCGAACCACUGUAUCGAUUUUUACAACUAAGAUAUCAUUAGAAAGGUCUAAUUUUUUUAUGUCUGCGACAGCCAAAAUUAUUUGUUGUUAUUAAUAAUUUAAAAAUU